UUGACGUUCACCUUGGCGGAGAAACGUCUCUCGUUCGUCACUUGGUUUGUGGCUGCUAAGUGGGUUGGUUUGGUACUUGGUACUGGUACCAUGAAAUGGCGGAUGAGUUCCAUACACCCUAUUUUAUAACAUCGAUCCAGUUUUUAAAGUAAAAAGUUACCAGCAAGGGUUGUCUGGAGUUAGGGAGACAUGUGUGUGACAACUCCUGUUGGAGCCUAAUAGGAAUCAUUCGCCAUUUGGAAGAAACCCUAACAUGAAACCGUAGCCCUUUGACCACCUAGGGAAACCACUGCAGCCACGGCCAAGUCACCAUUGGGAGUAUGUCUAUUUGGGAGCAAGCUAUGGGAGCGUUCCAGCUCAAUUUUCGUCUUGGCACCUGGGCCUACAGGAGUCAUGGGGUCGCACCAUCCUGGUGCAUCAUUUUCUAGGAUGCAACCGCAACCUCGUUUGGGAACAUUUAGUGAGGUGUUUUAGUAACUAUUGGUUUUUUUAUAUUUCAGACUAUCUGUUAAAUACACUAUGUUUUUUUCCAGAUUUAGGUUACCUCUGGUUUUUUUUGACAUAUUUGUAUAUUAGAUUAUUUGGUUCCCAAACUUUGUAUCUACGGUAACUUCUUGUGCACAGGAAUAAGCCUAGAGAAAAUUAGGUUUUUAAUACUUUAUUAUUGCUUUGAUAUUGGUUUAUGUAAUUCGGGUAAAUUCAUUUUGGUAAUAUUACUUGCUUGUUUCCCAAAUAUUUUCUUGUUAUUCGCUUUAUUUCGAUUGUUCGGUUAAUUCGUCGUUACUUUAUUUCAUUGAAUUUUCUCGGUUAAUUUAGGUCAUCGUUUCGGUAUUAAUUACUUCAUUACUAUCACUUUAUUCAUUUGUAUAUUUAAUUUUAUUUAUUCAUUAUGGUAUUUUCUCUUAGUGAGGCUUGGGCCUAUUUAUUUGUAGUAUUUUCAUCUUUGUCAGUUUCCUUUAGUUGUACGUAGCGGGCGUACUAUA
Molecule: long non-coding RNA, 983 nt
Organism: Diabrotica virgifera virgifera (western corn rootworm)
Lineage: Eukaryota; Metazoa; Arthropoda; Insecta; Coleoptera; Chrysomelidae
Exons: 2
Source: RefSeq, a predicted model, not a curated record